This 23-nucleotide non-coding RNA is filed under the name Arabidopsis thaliana (thale cress). Lineage: Eukaryota; Viridiplantae; Streptophyta; Magnoliopsida; Brassicales; Brassicaceae. The record is from RNAcentral.
UAACUAAAUCAGCCAGAUCGGGC